CGGACAGCGUCUCCAAGCCGGCUGACAAGCCGACUGGGCCGCCCAGGGCCGCCGCCGCCGCCCUUAAUGCUGCGCCGACUGCGCAUGCGUCGGCUGUCCACCGGCAGCUGCGGGCGGUGCCACAGCGCGCUUGCGCGAGCCGGGGCCGCUCCGCCAGCUGCGCAUGCGUCCUCGCGCCGGGAGCGCUGCUGUACGGCCGCCGGGCGAGGCAGGCAGGCUAGUGGACCUGUUGAUACUGGCUCUGCCGAAUUAGCUAGUAAGAUGCAGUAGAGCUCUCUCUGUCUCCGUCUGUUGGGUGCUGCCUAGGACGCGGUAACAGAGGGAACAGAAGUUCGUUCCUCACGGUUUGGAGGCUGGGAAAUCCAGCAUCUACCAGCAUCCCAUGACAGAAGAGCAAGAGAGUGUGUGUUCCUCAGUCUCUGGGCUGCAUUCUUUCAAGUUAAUGUCUAAAAAUAAAUCAAGUUAUUCCUGUCUGAGGAAAAGAUGGGUUUUUCAAAAAAAAAAAAAAAGUGCUGUUGGGACAAACAGAGAGCUGUCUGCAGAAGGAUGGAGAGAAUGCAAUCCUCACACUGAAAUCAGCUGCAGUGGACCAGAGAGCCCAGCGUGAAGCAUGAAAGCAGAGAAGCGUCACGUCGGUGAUUGACUGCUGGGAACUGGGAACGAGUGGUGCCACUUUACUCCCUAACAACAAAGGAACAAAACAGACAGGUAGUGACUACGAAAGAACAUGGGCAGGUUGUCUCACACAUGAGGGCAAGUACACACCCAGCUGUUAAAAAUGGAGACAGCCCCAACUGGAGAGAAACACAGACAGGAGACGCGAACAGAGAGCCACGUGAGGACGGAGAGGAAAGGAAGUGUGGAAGUCCCCUGUUCUACCCAUGAAAUGAUGCUCAGUUUCCCCGACAGGGAGAGAAGUGGAAAUCGCAGUUCUCCUCCACGCCAGGAGUUUGAUGAGCUUCUCUGGUAGACAGUGCAAGUGCAUACAGGACCGACACCUUGGAAAGGCACUUGGCAAAAAUGUAACAGGAGUACCUCUGCAUCAACCAGCAGUCUCACUUCUAGGAACUGUCCCGAGAAAGCUCCUCCACAGAUGAUAACAUUUGCAGGAGGUUAUGCAGCAUGACUCUGUAGUAGCAAAAGAUGAGAAACCAUUUGAAUGCCUGCUAGCGGGGGGGGGGGGGGGGGGGGGGGGGGGGGGGGAACCCCCCCAAAUGGUACCAUAGACACAAACCGGGGGACCAGGCAACCCAUAAAGAGACAGAGGCAACUCUAAGUGGAUUGAAAUGAUCUCCAGAAUAUGUUUUUAGUUGUAAGGAACUAGUACACAGCAGUACAUAGAAUGUGUAAUAUUUGGGUUUAGCACCACCAACAAAAAGAAGGGGUAAGAAUAUAUUUAGGUAUUUGCUUAUAUUUGCAAAGAGUAGAAAUAAAAAUAGUUACCUAUGGAGUUAGAGGGAAUGA
RNAcentral lists this long non-coding RNA (1464 nucleotides) under Oryctolagus cuniculus (rabbit). RNAcentral describes it as "lncRNA (ENSOCUG00000035220.1)". The record is from RNAcentral. Lineage: Eukaryota; Metazoa; Chordata; Mammalia; Lagomorpha; Leporidae.